Molecule: non-coding RNA, 158 nt
Filed under: Allobosea sp. Root381
Lineage: Bacteria; Pseudomonadati; Pseudomonadota; Alphaproteobacteria; Hyphomicrobiales; Alloboseaceae
Also listed under: 1 other name
Description: Bosea sp. Root381 6S / SsrS RNA
Rfam family: 6S / SsrS RNA
About the family: E. coli 6S RNA was the first non coding RNA to be sequenced, but its function was unknown until recently. It consists of 184 nucleotides that fold into an extended hairpin structure with a large single-stranded internal bulge. The 6S RNA specifically associates with RNA polymerase holoenzyme containing the sigma70 specificity factor.
Source: Rfam by way of RNAcentral
GCUGGGCUGCCUGGUGCGUGCGAGGAACUGUAUUCCCGGGCCCAUACGACUCCCUAGGGAGCUGUCCCUGACCGGGUCCCUGGACCCGGACACACGGCGCCCACCUACUUUAGUAGGUGUCCCGGGAUCGAAAUCUCCACGGCCGAGGUGGCUCAGCA